This is a long non-coding RNA of Lotus japonicus, 801 nucleotides long. RefSeq lists it as uncharacterized. The transcript has 2 exons. NCBI's taxonomy places the organism in Eukaryota, Viridiplantae, Streptophyta, Magnoliopsida, Fabales, Fabaceae. The record is from RefSeq and is a predicted model, not a curated record.
ACUAGAAAUUAACAACCCCUCUAACCUCAAACAGCACAGACCUAGGGUUUCAUUAAAUAAAAACUCAAACACCAGAUCUGAAACCAAGCCAUGCCGACAGAUGGGUAGAUCGAACCAAGCGAAAAAGGUGGUGCCUUUGUAAGGAUGAGACCUUCUUGAGCAGCAAAUCUGGGUUAAUCAUGUGGACCUUCUUUAUCUUGUUCGUUGUUCCGGAUCGAAGAGAGCGGCCGUGAGUUUGACACCUUAGCCUACGCCAAUCACCACGCCGUCAUCUCUUACUUCUGGGGUGUGGGUUUGCUGGGGUUGGGAGUGGGUUUAUGGGUUUGGUGUUUUUUUUUUUUUGUGGGGAUGGGUUUAUGGGGGCUCGAUUUGUGCAUAGAUUUUCUGGGUUGUGUGAAUUUGAUGACCAGAUAUGUUAGGUGAGGAUGGAGGCGAACCAGUUCUGUUACCUCGACGGCGACGGCGUUAGGCGGCGGAGAAGGCGAAGCAGGUCCAUUCCAUUCCUUCGCUUCCCCUUCCCUUUCCCUGUUCAUACAACGCCUCCGAUCUCGUAACCAUGACCAAGAGAACAAAGAAGGCUGGCAUCGUUGGAAAAUACAUUGUGUAUUUGCUUUUUUUGUUGUUGUUAGCUCAUGCUGAUUAUUGAUGUAUAUAAGCUUGAGUUUCUAGAGGAAUGAUUGUUCCAUUUCAUUCUUAUUGAUAAGUAUUGCUAGAACAUUUUUUGUGUACGCACUCUGAUAAAAGAUGUUAACUAUCCCCCUUCUGCAUUCUUUGAUGAAAUGAACAGAUUUUAGUCUUUUA